GAUGAAGAACGCAGCGAAAUGCGAUAAGUAAUGCGAAUUGCAGAAUCCGUGAAUCAUCGAAUCUUUGAACGCACAUUGCGCCCCUUGGUAUUCCAUGGGGCAUGCCUGUUCGAGCGUCAUUUGUACCUUCAAGCUUUGCUUGGUGUUGGGUGUUUGUCUCGCCUUUGCGUGUAGACUCGCCUUAAAAUAAUUGGCAGCCGGCGUAUUGAUUUCGGAGCGCAGUACAUCUCGCGCUUUGCACUCAUAACGACAGCGUCCAAAAGUACAUUUUACACUCUUGACCUCGGAUCAGGUAGGGAUACCCGCUGAACUUAAGCAUAUCAAUAAGCGGAGGA
Molecule: unclassified non-coding RNA, 335 nt
Filed under: soil metagenome
Description: partial contains 5.8S ribosomal RNA, internal transcribed spacer 2, and large subunit ribosomal RNA
Rfam family: 5.8S ribosomal RNA (bases 1-119)
Source: RNAcentral